AUGGUGACGAUUCAGAGGUGCACGUGUCUGGGUGCAGUGAGGGCACGAACCUGCGGCUGCCCCUCUGCCUGGCCCGGCCCAGCCUGGCUGCCGCUGCACAGCCGCCGUCGCCAUCGGGGAAGUCGUGCGGAGCCAGCGGGCCUGGGCAGAGCUGGCACCCAGGGGGUUAGCAGGCUCCCGAGGAGACAAAACACAAAAAAAUUACGGGUGUGUGAAGGAGGCGCCGGGAAGGUUUUUUAAGGAGUCAGAACAUACGUCUUCACGCUUCGUUAGGACAGACAGCAAGGCGGAGGUAGGUUUAGGAGCUUGGGGGGCCGGGGACUGUAGUGCUUUGAAACACCGGUCUUCAGGGCUUGCAAGAGGAAAAUCGGCACACCAGUGGGGCGGUUGAUGUUGGAGCUUCUUGUAGCUCUCUUUAUGAUGUUGGCUGGCCUUCUCCCCUGCUUUCUCAGAAGCUGUCUCAACAUACCCUUUUCGGAGUUGAAACUCCCGGACGCAGGGAUUCGUAACCACUUUUUUUUUUUUUUUUUUUUUUAGUGUCACGGACAUGAGUUCUUUGAGAAGGUCACGAAAGCCCCGCCCCGUCUCCCCAGAAAACGGCUGCCUAUAAUUGCAGGGGGUUCAAGGUAUGGACAACACGCUAAAAACUCUGACUUAUUUCACCUUAAAACGUAAAUGCCCAGCCAUGCUCUCUCCUCCUUCUUCCUUCUCCCGAACCUCUCCGUUUCUCUGCCUAAAGCAGCGCCUGCAUGAAAUGGGGAAUAAGGACACAGCCAAGAGUGAGGCGGGCCUCCAGCGGCUCUGCUUCUAGAAUACUGUGCUAAAGGGGGCAAGCGGGCAGGUCUGAAAAGGAUCAGGGGCUAGGAUGCGGCCCCUGCCCUCAAGGGACUCCCGUCGGGUGGUGGAGAUCAGUUUCAAAACAAAUGGCAAAAUCCAGGUCGUGGCUCCUUUACGUGGUCACACGACAUCCUGAAUCCUCAACGAUGCAUAAUGUUUCUCAUACAAGGGAACGAGUGACAAAAGUUCCCAGGCAAAACAGAGCAAAAUCUUUGUAGAGAUUUCUCUGGCAGUUUCCGAGAGGGGGUGCAUUUCUGUUGAUUCAGUUCCUAGAAGUGGACUCGCGAGGUCAAAGGGCUUGAAUAUGGAAGUAUUUAAUAGAGGGACCACAAUUACCCUCUGGAAAAGGUCGCGUCGGUUUCGUACCUCCCCGGGGGAGCGGAUUUGGCACCCGGAUCAGAUUCUGGGCUGGGUGGGGGGGAGAAGGCUAGGAAGGGAGGAGGGGGACAGCGAAUUUUUCUUUCAGCCGUGUGGGCAGCUGUCCAAUUUCAUUUCGGUUCUCGGAGUUUUGCUUUCUUCAACGUGACUGAGUGUUGACGCUGGUUUGGAGGCGGGAACUUUGUGGCCUGGCCGGACGAGGAUCGCAGGGGUCGGGGCCACCACUGACCCACAGCCUUCGUGCGCGGUACCCCCACGGGAGCCAGGGGGGUCCCGGGUGUCACCUACGCGCACAUUUACAAACCAGAUACCUUCCUCUCAGGUGAACCCAGCUCUGAGCCAGGAUGUGAUAAGACAAGGGCCGGCUUCACUUUGGCCCCACUCACACCCUCGGCGGUGAGACUGUGCACUGGCCCGUCCACGGCAGUCCUGACCGCGGCUCCCACUCCUGGCUGUUGCCCUGACGGCAUCCACGUCAAGGGCCCGUGGUGCUGCUGCUCGAAGGACACAGCCACGCUCAAGGGCUGAGCAGAGGCCUUGGUGUCGUCGGCCUCGUCUCCCCUGCCUCCGCCUGCCGCCCGCUCCUGCUUCUUGCCCAGUGACCCCUCCUGCGUCCUGGAGACAAAAACAGCCCCAUUGAGGGAUUUUUGCUGGAACGUGCCCUCCCUCCAGUUAGAGCAGGUUUUGUGUUUAGCUUUGGUUUGGCGGCUUUUCAUUCUGGACGCAGUUGUGCUGGCCCCUCAGAGCCUGAGAGCCCCGGGGCCAGGGCCUUGUCGCAUUGGCCUAAACCCCGCUGGUGAUAAAGCUGUAGGAGUUCAUGCUGGCUGCUCCAGCAGAGACACUCUGAAAUCCCAGCUGCCUAACCCAGGAGAUUUUUAUUUCUGACUCACCAAGCAGUCUGAUGACUGUGUGCGGGGUGGUAAUUUAGGGACCCAGGCUCCUUCUCUCCCUCUCCUUUGCCAUUUAUUUAUUUUUGAGAGAGAGAGAGAGAGCGCACGAGCAAGAGAGGGGUCAAAGAGAGAGGGAAUCGGACCACAAGAUCAUGACCUGAGCCGAAAUCAAGAGUGGGAUGCUUAACCCACUGAGCCACCCAGGCGCCCCCUAGACGGCCUCAUUUUGACUUGUAAAUGCACCGCCUCACUUUCGCUCACCUUCUAUUGGCAGGAACAUGGGGCCUAGAGGCAGGAUUCCCUUGGAAAUACAUCCUUGGCUGGGUAGCUGUUCCUCAAACACAGCUUUUACACCAUGGAAAAGGAGCCCUGGACCGUGGUGGGCAGUGGGCUGUGUCUGCCAUGGGACUGAGCUGGGAACAAGCUUGCACUCCUGCCGCCUAGUUACCCUUCUGUUCCUGUGGGCAGAAGUCCUUAUACUUUAUCAAGCAAGAGGCUCUGCCCAAAGGUGACCUUUAUUAAUGCUUCAGAUAGGAACUGGUGUGGAGUGAAGAGCUUCACCCUUUCUUUGAUCGGAUUUACCUCUGUUCCUGCUCCAUGUGCUGGGCGUGGACCCCUCCCUAGUCUCUCUCCCCAGCCCAUUUCCUUUUUCCCCAAAUCUCCAGGCAGAGUCACAGGCAAAUUUGCCUGGGAACCAUUCAGGACCUCCCUCCCCCUUCUCCCUCCCGUUUUUUGUUUUUGUUUUUGUUUUUUUUUUUUGAUGAUUUUGGCUAGAGGGUGACCAGGGAGAGAAGGACUUCCAAUAAAGGCAGUUUCUUCUCUUCCUGUGUUUGCUGA
This 2942-nucleotide long non-coding RNA is filed under the name Felis catus (domestic cat). RNAcentral's name for it is "lncRNA (ENSFCAG00000048996.1)". Lineage: Eukaryota; Metazoa; Chordata; Mammalia; Carnivora; Felidae. The record is from RNAcentral.